CCGUGUCACGAGACCCAGCCUGUAUCCUGUGACUGCUUCGUCUAUCAUGUGAUCAUACGACGAAUUCCCCCCCCCUUCGUGGAAUUCGUUUGAUUGCAUUUUUCUUCUUGUAGUUGAGUUUCAGCGUUAGGCGCGGGGUGAUUUUAUUUUUUUAAGAAAAAAAUCAUUUCUCGUGUCAUUUUAUAUAAUUUCUUAUAUAAUUUUUCAUAUAUAGGUUGUUUCCCAUGCUUCCGCCGAAGAACCUGGCCCCUUCCAUAGGCCAUCGGAGUAGUUGCAGGGAUCUUGCUUCGCUCUCUCUCCGUCCUAGAACGAACUUUGCGUUUUAGAUUGGGUAUGGAGCCACUGUCUUGUUGAAACUAAGCAUGUCUGGGUCUCGUCAAUGUCUGGAUGAGAGACCACCUGGGAACCACAGAGAAUGCCUCUUCUCCCAAACAUUUUAGCAUGUGUUUUUAAAUUGUUUUUUUAAAAAUGUGUUUAAAUUUGUAUAUUUGUUUUUAAUUGCUGUAAACCACCCAGAGAGCUUCGGGUAUGGGGCAGUAUAUAAAUGUAUGUAUGUAUGUAUGUAUGUCACCCUUAGAUCAACCACUGAAAGAAAGGUGGGAUAUAAAUUUAAGUAAGUAAAUAAAUAAAUGUAAGCAUGAAGGAAGGGGAUCAUCUUUAUUUAUUGUGAACAGUGCUGGAUGCCUUUGCCAACAGAAUGGUACAGUAAAAAUACUUUAAAAAAAUAAAA
Rhineura floridana is the source of this 730-nucleotide long non-coding RNA. RefSeq lists it as uncharacterized. Lineage: Eukaryota; Metazoa; Chordata; Lepidosauria; Squamata; Rhineuridae. The record is from RefSeq and is a predicted model, not a curated record. The transcript has 2 exons.